Non-coding RNA from Parelaphostrongylus tenuis, 72 nucleotides. The record is from the annotation of a GenBank genome assembly. Lineage: Eukaryota; Metazoa; Nematoda; Chromadorea; Rhabditida; Metastrongylidae.
GCGUCGGUGGUGCAACGGUUCAGCAUUACUCCUGAAAAAAGUAAGAUGUGGGUUCGAAUCCCGGCUGACGCA